CAAUAGCGUAUAUUAAAGUUGUUGCAGUUAAAAAGCUCGUAGUUGGAUUUCUGGUUGGUACGGACGGUCCCGAGCAAUCGGCGAACUGUGUGUGCUGACCUUCCUCUCGGGGGCUGCGUGGUGCUUCAUUGUGCUGCGUGGAAUUCGAGACCUUUACUUUGAAAAAAUUAGAGUGUUCAAAGCAGGCCUUUGCUUGAAUACAUUAGCAUGGAAUAAUGGAAUAGGACUUUUGUUCUAUUUUGUUGGUUUCUAGGACAGAAGUAAUGAUUAAUAGGGACAGUUGGGGGCAUUAGUAUUUAAUUGUCAGAGGUGAAAUUCUUGGAUUUAUGAAAGACUAACAUCUGCGAAAGCAUUUGCCAAGGAUGUUUUCAUUGA
RNAcentral lists this ribosomal RNA (375 nucleotides) under uncultured eukaryote. RNAcentral describes it as "partial 18S ribosomal RNA". It matches the Rfam family "Eukaryotic small subunit ribosomal RNA", at positions 592 to 976 of the family's 1831-position model. The record is from RNAcentral.